This 406-nucleotide ribosomal RNA is filed under the name uncultured bacterium. RNAcentral describes it as "partial 16S ribosomal RNA". It matches the Rfam family "Bacterial small subunit ribosomal RNA", at positions 30 to 526 of the family's 1533-position model. The record is from RNAcentral.
AUUGAACGCUGGCGGCAGACUUAACACAUGCAAGUCGAGCGAGCGGCGGACGGGUGAGUAAUGUCUGGGAAACUGCCUGAUGGAGGGGGAUAACUACUGGAAACGGUAGAUAAUACCGCAUACCAUCAGAUGUGCCCAGAUGGGAUUAGCUAGUAGGUGGGGUAAUGGCUAACCUAGGCGACGAUCCCUAGCUGGCCUGAGAGGAUGACCAGCCACACUGGAACGGUGCAACGGUCAAGACUCCUACGGGAGGCAGCAGUGGGGAAUAUUGCACAAUGGGCGAAAGCCUGAUGCAGCCAUGCCGGGUGUGUGAAGAAGUCCUUCGGGUGGAAAAGCACUUUCAGCGAGGAGGCGUUACUCGCAGAAGAAGCACCGGCUAACUCCGUGCCAGCAGCCGCGGUAAUAC